This 851-nucleotide long non-coding RNA is filed under the name Homo sapiens (human). RNAcentral describes it as "HSALNT0151112". The record is from RNAcentral. Lineage: Eukaryota; Metazoa; Chordata; Mammalia; Primates; Hominidae.
GGCGGGAGGCGGGCUUCGCCGGUUGCCAGGAGAACUCGCGACAACAAAAGACGCGGACGGCGGCUGCGCGGUGUGGCAGAGCGAAGCUGAGGAGUCCAGCGCUCGCCGACAGGGGCCUGGGCUGUCCCGAGCCGGGUCUCGCUCUGUUACUCAGGCUGGAGUGCAGUGGCACACUGCAGCCUCAACCUCCCGGGCUCAAGCGAUCCUCCAAUCUCAGCCUCCCAAGUAGCUGGGACUACAGGAGGGAUCCUCUCGCUUCAGCCUUCUGAGUAGCUGGGAUUACAGGCGCACGCCACCAUGCCUGCCUAAUUUUUGUAUUUUUAGUAGAGACAGGGUUUCUCCAUGUUGCCCAGGCUGGUCUCGAACUCCUGGGCUCAAGUGAUCCACCCGCCCUGGCCUCCCAAAGUGCUGGGAUUACAGAUGUGAACCACCGUGCUGGGCCAUGGUUUUUUUUUUUUCAAGGGUAGUGAAUAUUAUCAAUUCAUUGUUGUUAGUGUUAUUAAUAAAAUAUUAUUUCAGUCUAGUUGUCUGUGUUACUUAAUGGUAAUCUUCAAGACUCAGCAGCUUUUCCAAAGAACCUAACCUCACCUCAAAUUCAUUACUUUUCAUCAUCUGCACUCAAACAUUGUCAUAGAUUACUUGUUAAAUUUUGUAUAAGCUUUAUCCUUCCAAAACUGAACAUUUGUAUGUAAGUUUUUAUGCGAACACAAUGUUUUCAUUUCUCUUGGGAGUGGAAUUGCUGGAUCAUUUGAUGGAGUGGAAUUGCUGGGUCAAGAGAUAACUGUAUGUUUAACUUUUUGCAGAAAUGUCAGUCUGUUUUCCAAAGUGGCUAUACCAUUUUACCUUCCCAC